AUCAGGUUGAUGGAGCUAAUGGUCGUACAAACUUUGAAGCAAUUCAGAGUAAGUACAAAAAAGCUGGAUAUGAGAUG
This 77-nucleotide transfer RNA is filed under the name Salmonella phage FSL SP-107. Its description in RNAcentral is "tRNA-Pro". Lineage: Duplodnaviria; Heunggongvirae; Uroviricota; Caudoviricetes; Andersonviridae. The record is from RNAcentral.